CCUACGGGAGGCAGCAGUGAGGAAUAUUGGUCAAUGGACGCAAGUCUGAACCAGCCAUGCCGCGUGCAGGAAGACGGCUCUAUGGGUUGUAAACUUCUUUUGUCCGGGGGUAAAUGCCGCUACGUGUAUCGGGUUGGAGGUAACGUACGAAUAAGGAUCGGCUAACUCCGUGACAGCAGCCGCGGGAAUACGGAGGAUUCAAACGUUAUCCGGAUUUAUUGGGGUUAAAGGGUGCGUAGGCGGUUCGUUAAGUUAGGUGGUAAAGCUCGGGGCUCAAACGCCGCACUGCCUCUGAUACUGGCUGGCUAGAUUGUAGUGGCGGUAGGCGGAAUGUAUGGUGUAGCGGUGAAAUGCAUAGAGAUCAUACAGAACACCGAUUGCGAAGGCAGCUUACCAGACUACGACUGACGCUGAGGCACGAAAGCGUGGGGAGCAAACAGGAUUAGAUACCCCAGUAGUC
This 460-nucleotide ribosomal RNA is filed under the name uncultured bacterium. RNAcentral describes it as "partial 16S ribosomal RNA". It matches the Rfam family "Bacterial small subunit ribosomal RNA", at positions 338 to 795 of the family's 1533-position model. The record is from RNAcentral.